RNAcentral lists this ribosomal RNA (497 nucleotides) under uncultured bacterium. RNAcentral describes it as "partial 16S ribosomal RNA". It matches the Rfam family "Bacterial small subunit ribosomal RNA", at positions 28 to 507 of the family's 1533-position model. The record is from RNAcentral.
GAUGAACGCUGGCGGCGUGCCUAAUACAUGCAAGUCGAGCGAACAGAUGAGGAGCUUGCUCCUCUGACGUUAGCGGCGGACGGGUGAGUAACACGUGGAUAACCUACCUAUAAGACUGGGAUAACUUCGGGAAACCGGUGCUAAUACCGGAUAAUAUAUUGAACCGCAUGGUUCAAUAGUGAAAGACGGUUUUGCUGUCACUUAUAGAUGGAUCCGCGCCGCAUUAGCUAGUUGGUAAGGUAACGGCUUACCAAGGCAACGAUGCGUAGCCGACCUGAGAGGGUGAUCGGCCACACUGGAACUGAGACACGGUCCAGACUCCUACGGGAGGCAGCAGUAGGGAAUCUUCCGCAAUGGGCGAAAGCCUGACGGAGCAACGCCGCGUGAGUGAUGAAGGUCUUCGGAUCGUAAAACUCUGUUAUUAGGGAAGAACAAAUGUGUAAGUAACUAUGCACGUCUUGACGGUACCUAAUCAGAAAGCCACGGCUAACUACGUG